GACGAACGCUGGCGGCGUGCUUAACACAUGCAAGUCGAACGGAAAGGCCCUGCUCUUGCGGGGUGCUCGAGUGGCGAACGGGUGAGUAACACGUGAGUAACCUGCCCUUGACUUUGGGAUAACUUCAGGAAACUGGGGCUAAUACCGGAUAGGAGCUCCUGCUGCAUGGUGGGGGUUGGAAAGUUUCGGCGGUUGGGGAUGGACUCGCGGCUUAUCAGCUUGUUGGUGGGGUAGUGGCUUACCAAGGCUUUGACGGGUAGCCGGCCUGAGAGGGUGACCGGCCACAUGGGGCCUGAGAUACGGCCCAGACUCCUACGUGAGGCAGCAGUGGGGAAUAUGACACAAUAGGCGGAAGCCUGAUGCAGCAACGCCGCGUGCGGGAUGCCGGCCUUCGGGUUGUAAACCGCUUUCGCCUUUGACGAAGCGUGAUUGACGGUAAUGAGUCAAGAAGCACCGGCUAACUACGUG
RNAcentral lists this ribosomal RNA (468 nucleotides) under uncultured bacterium. RNAcentral describes it as "partial 16S ribosomal RNA". It matches the Rfam family "Bacterial small subunit ribosomal RNA", at positions 28 to 507 of the family's 1533-position model. The record is from RNAcentral.